UCCAAUGUUAUUAGCUUGGCCUGCAAAUGAUCAACCAUUGUUUGUUUAACAACAUAUAUAUGAACUAAGCUUCUUAUACUACAUGCAAGUCUUCUCGCUUUGUCUAUUACUAAUACAUACAAGUAAUAUUUUCUCAGAUAUGACAACAACAAACAACAACAAAAAAAACAACAACAAAGCCUUUAGUCCCAAACAAGUUGGGGUAGGCUAGAGGUGAAACCCAUAAGAUCUCGCAACCAACUCAUGGCUCUGGCACAUGGAUAGCAAGCUUCCACGCACCCCUGUCCAUAGCUAGCUCUUUGUCGAUACUCCAAUCUUUCAGGUCUCUCUUAGCGGACUCCUCCCAUGUCAAAUUCGGUAGACCCCGCCCUCUCUUGACAUUCUCCGCACGCUUUAGCCGUCCGCUAUGCACUGGAGCUUCUGGAGGCCUUCGCUGAAUAUGCCCAAACCAUCUCAGACGAUGUUGGACAAGCUUCUCCUCAAUUGGUGCUACCCCAACUCUAUCUCGUAUAUCAUCAUUCCGGACUCGAUCCUUCCUCGUGUGGCCACACAUCCAUCUCAACAUACGCAUCUCCGCUACACCUAAUUGUUGAACAUGUCGCCUUUUAGUCGGCCAACACUCCGCGCCAUACAACAUUGCGGGUCGAACCGCCGUCCUGUAGAACUUGCCUUUUAGCUUUUGUGGCACUCUCUUGUCACAUAGAAUGCCAGAAGCUUGGCGCCACUUCAUCCAUCCGGCUUUGAUUCGAUGGUUCACAUCUUCAUCAAUACCCCCAUCCUCCUGCAACAUUGACCCCAAAUACCGAAAGGUGUCCUUCCGAGGUACCACCUGGCCAUCAAGGCUAACCUCCUCCUCCUCACACCUAGUAGUACUGAAACCGCACAUCAUGUACUCAGUUUUAGUUCUACUAAGCCUAAACCCUUUCAAUUCCAAGGUUUGUCUCCAUAACUCUAACUUCCCAUUUACCCCCGUCCGACUAUCGUCAACUAGCACCACAUCAUCCGCAAAGAGCAUACACCAUGGGAUAUCUCCUUGUAUAUCCCUUGUGACCUCAUCCAUCACCAAUGCAAAAAGAUAAGGGCUCAAAGCUGACCCCUGAUGCAGUCCUAUCUUAAUCGGGAAGUCAUCGGUGUCGACAUCACUUGUUCGAACACUUGUCACAACAUUAUCGUACAUGUCCUUGAUGAGGGUAAUGUAUUUUGCUGGAACUUUGUGUUUCUCCAAGGCCCACCACAUGACAUUCCGCGGUAUCUUAUCAUAGGCCUUCUCCAAGUCAAUGAACACCAUAUGCAAGUCCUUCUUUUGCUUCCUAUAUCUCUCCAUAAGUUGUCGUACCAAGAAAAUGGCUUCCAUGGUCGACCUUCCAGGCAUGAAACCAAACUGAUUUUUGGUCACGCUUGUCAUUCUUCUUAAGUGGUGCUCAAUGACUCUCUCCCAUAGCUUCAUUGUAUGGCUCAUCAGCUUAACUCCAUGGUAAUUAGUACAACUCUGAACAUCCCCCUUGUUCUUGAAGAUUGGUACUAAUAUACUCCGUCUCCAUUCUUCUGGCAUCUUGUUUGCCCAAAAAAUGAGGUUGAAAAGCUUGGUUAGCCAUACUAUCGCUAUGUCCCCGAGACCUUUCCACACCUCAAUGGGGAUAUAAUCAGGGCCCAUCGCCUUGCCUCCUUUCAUCCUUUUUAAAGCCUCCUUCACCUCAGACUCCUGGAUGCGCCGCACAAAACACAUGCUAGUCUCAUCAAAGGAGUCGUCCAGUUCAAUGGUAGAACUCUCAUUCUCCCCAUUGAACAGCUUGUCGAAGUACUCCAUCUAUGCUUAAUCUCCUCGUCCUUCACCAAGAGUUGGCCUGCUCCGUCCUUGAUGCAUUUGACUUGGCCAAUAUCCCUCGUCUUCCUCUCCCGGAUCUUAGCCAUCUUAUAGAUGUCCCUUUCACCUUCCUUCGUGCCUAACCGUUGGUAGAGGUCCUCAUAUGCCCGACCCCUUGCUUCACCAACAGCUCGCUUUGCGGCCUUCUUCGCCAUCUUGUACUUCUCUAUGUUGUCUGCACUCCUAUCCAGGUAUAGGCGUCUGAAGCAAUCUUUCUUCUCUUUAAUCGCCUUCUGGACAUCAUCAUUCCACCACCAGGUAUCCUUAUCUUCGCUUCAACUUCCCCUGGACACUCCAAACUCCUCCAAGGCCACCUUACGAAUGCAAGUCGCCAUCUUCAUCCACACAUUGUCCGCAUCCCCUCCUUCCUCCCAAGGGCCCUCCUUAAUUACCCUCUCCUUGAACACCUGGUCUACCUCCCCCUUGAGCUUCCACCACUUCGUUCUAGCGACUUUGGCACGCUUAUCCCGCUGGACACGAAUCCAAAAGCGGAAGUCAGCAACCACCAGCUUAUGCUGGGGUACAACACUCCCUCCAGGUAUCACCUUACAGUCUAGGCACGCACGCCUAUCUUCUCUUCUUGAGAGGAUGAAAUCAAUCUGACUAGAGUGUUGGCCACUAGUAAAAGUCACCAGAUGUGAUUCUCUCUUUCUAAAGAGGGUGUUAGCUACAAUCAUGUUGUAGGCUAGAGCAAAGCUUAAGACAUCUUCUCCUUCUUGAUUCCUGAUGCCAUAGCCAAAGCCCCCAUGCGCCCCUUCAAAACCUGUGUUAGAUGUACCCACGUGGCCAUUGAGGUCUCCUCCUAUGAAGAGCUUCUCACCAAUCGGUACACUCCUAACCAUGUCUUCCAAGCCUUCCCAGAACUCCCUCUUGGUGUUCUCAUUGUGGCCUACUUGCGGGGCAUACGCGCUGAUAACAUUGAGAACCAAGUCCUCAACUACCAGCUUGACCAGGAUAAUCCGGUCCCCACGUCUCUUGACGUCUACCACUCCAUACUUGAGGCUCUUGUUGAUCAAGAUGCCUACGCCAUUUCUGUUUGCAGCCGUCCCCGUGUACCACAGCUUGAAGCCGGUAUCCUCCACCUCCUUCGCCUUCUGUCCUCUCCAUUUGGUUUCUUGGACGCAAAGGAUAUCAACACCUCUCCUCACCGCUGCAUCAACUAGCUCCCGAAGCUUCCCUGUCAGAGACCCUACGUUCCAGCUACCUAAGCGAAUCCUCCUAGGCUCGGCUAGCUUCCUUACCCUUCGCACUCGUCGAGUCAAAUGCGAAGACCCUUGCUCAUUUUCCACUACAUCCGGGCACCGAUGUAGUGUGCCACUAAGGAUGCGACGACCCGAUCCUCGCUCACUUGCCACCGUAUCCGGAUCAAGAUACGGCGCGCCACUUGAGGGGUGACGGCCCGGCCCUUGCCCAUUUUCCACCACACCCGGGUUCCGAUGUGGCGCGUCGCUGAGAGGGUUACGCCCCAACGAAAAUCUUCAGAUAUGACAACAACAAAUCAAAAUAAUAUACUUUUUAGUCCAAAUUGGGAAAAUACACCUGUGAAGAGUCAGUUUCUAUGAAGGAACAAAAAAUAUAGUCCGGCAACUUGCUUCUACCAGCGGACACACUUCUCAUCUUACUAAGUAUUUCUCUCCCAAUCUCCUUUUUUUGCGGGGGCUCCCAACCUACUUCUACACAUCUACCUCUGCCAACCAAUACCUGACCAUAGCUGGAAGGAAAACCUCUAUAUUGUGCCGCAGAUCCAGCACGUGUACAUCAACCUCCCCUUCGGGCUUCGGCAACCAAAUUUUGGGCUGAACGCUGCCCUCCCAUUGAUGGCCCUCCUCCAUCGAGCUGAGACCCAGCCACACAAGUUUGCCUCUGCUGCGUGCCCCAUUCUAGGUUGCCACGAUUAGGGCUCGCGUUUAGUACCUGAGGACGAGAAAUUAUAAAAAUAGUAGCGAGAAGUGACAUCAGAGAAGGUCAGGAAUUAGAUUCCUGGAGUACAUUAACUAGAUCUUACUUCACUGGCUGCUAAUCAGAACCGGUGGCGCAUGUGGG
This 3907-nucleotide long non-coding RNA is filed under the name Triticum aestivum (bread wheat). RNAcentral's name for it is "long non-coding RNA (TAES_LNC001369)". Lineage: Eukaryota; Viridiplantae; Streptophyta; Magnoliopsida; Poales; Poaceae. The record is from RNAcentral.